RNAcentral lists this ribosomal RNA (1242 nucleotides) under Escherichia coli. RNAcentral's name for it is "partial 23S ribosomal RNA". It matches the Rfam family "Bacterial large subunit ribosomal RNA", at positions 883 to 2106 of the family's 2925-position model. The record is from RNAcentral. Lineage: Bacteria; Pseudomonadati; Pseudomonadota; Gammaproteobacteria; Enterobacterales; Enterobacteriaceae.
CGUGAAUUCAUCUCCGGGGGUAGAGCACUGUUUCGGCAAGGGGGUCAUCCCGACUUACCAACCCGAUGCAAACUGCGAAUACCGGAGAAUGUUAUCACGGGAGACACACGGCGGGUGCUAACGUCCGUCGUGAAGAGGGAAACAACCCAGACCGCCAGCUAAGGUCCCAAAGUCAUGGUUAAGUGGGAAACGAUGUGGGAAGGCCCAGACAGCCAGGAUGUUGGCUUAGAAGCAGCCAUCAUUUAAAGAAAGCGUAAUAGCUCACUGGUCGAGUCGGCCUGCGCGGAAGAUGUAACGGGGCUAAACCAUGCACCGAAGCUGCGGCAGCGACACUAUGUGUUGUUGGGUAGGGGAGCGUUCUGUAAGCCUGUGAAGGUGUGCUGUGAGGUAUGCUGGAGGUAUCAGAAGUGCGAAUGCUGACAUAAGUAACGAUAAAGCGGGUGAAAAGCCCGCUCGCCGGAAGACCAAGGGUUCCUGUCCAACGUUAAUCGGGGCAGGGUGAGUCGACCCCUAAGGCGAGGCCGAAAGGCGUAGUCGAUGGGAAACAGGUUAAUAUUCCUGUACUUGGUGUUACUGCGAAGGGGGGACGGAGAAGGCUAUGUUGGCCGGGCGACGGUUGUCCCGGUUUAAGCGUGUAGGCUGGUUUUCCAGGCAAAUCCGGAAAAUCAAGGCUGAGGCGUGAUGACGAGGCACUACGGUGCUGAAGCAACAAAUGCCCUGCUUCCAGGAAAAGCCUCUAAGCAUCAGGUAACAUCAAAUCGUACCCCAAACCGACACAGGUGGUCAGGUAGAGAAUACCAAGGCGCUUGAGAGAACUCGGGUGAAGGAACUAGGCAAAAUGGUGCCGUAACUUCGGGAGAAGGCACGCUGAUAUGUAGGUGAAGUCCCUUGCGGAUGGAGCUGAAAUCAGUCGAAGAUACCAGCUGGCUGCAACUGUUUAUUAAAAACACAGCACUGUGCAAACACGAAAGUGGACGUAUACGGUGUGACGCCUGCCCGGUGCCGGAAGGUUAAUUGAUGGGGUUAGCGGUAACGCGAAGCUCUUGAUCGAAGCCCCGGUAAACGGCGGCCGUAACUAUAACGGUCCUAAGGUAGCGAAAUUCCUUGUCGGGUAAGUUCCGACCUGCACGAAUGGCGUAAUGAUGGCCAGGCUGUCUCCACCCGAGACUCAGUGAAAUUGAACUCGCUGUGAAGAUGCAGUGUACCCGCGGCAAGACGGAAAGACCCCGUGAACCUUUACUA